This is a long non-coding RNA of Helianthus annuus (common sunflower), 191 nucleotides long. RefSeq lists it as uncharacterized. NCBI's taxonomy places the organism in Eukaryota, Viridiplantae, Streptophyta, Magnoliopsida, Asterales, Asteraceae. The transcript is spliced from 2 exons. The record is from RefSeq and is a predicted model, not a curated record.
GAUUCCUCAGGAGCUGGUUGGAUUACUCCCUAGACAAGAAAACCUGAAACAAGCGGGGAAUUAGGGGUUUCAGAGAUAACUAUAAGGAAAUUUGGUUUCUGUUUGACAAUUGUUUGGCCAUUUCAACAAUUUAAGUAGCUUAAAUCUGUACUUAUUUUAUUAUGCAUAUGCAAACAGUUUAUAGUGGAUUA